Long non-coding RNA from Etheostoma spectabile (orangethroat darter), 91 nucleotides. RefSeq lists it as uncharacterized. The transcript is spliced from 4 exons. NCBI's taxonomy places the organism in Eukaryota, Metazoa, Chordata, Actinopteri, Perciformes, Percidae. The record is from RefSeq and is a predicted model, not a curated record.
UUACAAUUUGAGAUGACAUAUGAAGCUCAGCGCAAAUUCUUUUAGGAAGACUUUUAAAUAACUUCAAUCACCAAUAUCUCUUCCUAAAACU